Molecule: ribosomal RNA, 495 nt
Filed under: uncultured bacterium
Lineage: Bacteria
Description: bacterial SSU rRNA
Rfam family: Bacterial small subunit ribosomal RNA
Source: RNAcentral
GAUGAACGCUGGCGGCGUGCCUAAUACAUGCAAGUCGAACGCAUUGUGGUUGAAAUGAUAUGAAGAACUUGUUCAGAUUUGAUUUUCAACAUUGCAAUGAGUGGCGAACGGGUGAGUAACACGUGGGAAACCUACCUCUUAGCAGGGGAUAACAUUUGGAAACAAAUGCUAAUACCGUAUAAUAAUUAAAACCGCAUGAUUUUAGUUUAAAAGAUGGUCUUGCUAUCACUAAGAGAUGGUCCCGCGGUGUAUUAGUUAGUUGGUGAGGUAAUGGCUCACCAAGACAAUGAUACAUAGCCGAGUUGAGAGACUGACCGGCCACAAUGGGACUGAGACACGGCCCAUACUCCUACGGGAGGCAGCAGUAGGGAAUCUUCCACAAUGGACGAAAGUCUGAUGGAGCAACGCCGCGUGUGUGAUGAAGGGUUUCGGCUCGUAAAACACUGUUGUAAGAGAAGAAUGACAUUGAGAGUAACUGUUCAAUGUGUGACGGUA